CACUUGCACUGCGGGUGCUCUCUGGCCCCCACCCCAUCAUCGCGCAACACACCCCCUUCAACAUGCGCGGCCACCCUUUCAUUGCCCUGCGCCCCGAGCGGUCCCACCGCCCGGCAAAACACUGAGCAAGCCGCUGCUCUCACCUUGCUUGACACACUUGAGCCGGAGGGGGUCCUUGCAGUGUUUGAUCACGGCCAGCACGUCCCUGAUGGUGAGCCCCGCCACGGGGGUCUCGUUCACCUCCAGCAGCAGCUCCUCCGACACCAAUUUGCUGCCGCUCUCAUAGGCCACCUUGCCGGGCUUCACCUCCCCCAGCAGAGGAAGCAGUGGUGGUGGCGUCGGCGGCGGCGGCGGCGGCAGCCGGAGCGAGCAGUAGCCGAGCUGGUGAGCGGGUGUGGUGGGGGUGGGGAAGGAGGGUAGGGAUGCCGGGGGCCACUCCUGCGUGGUGCGAGUGGGAACGCGCGCGCGCGCCUGGGUGUGUGUUGUUAGCUGAUAUCCAUGGCAGCUGCAGUGGCAGGUGUUCCCUUCUUUUCGCCAGGUUUGCAUCCAAGAGAGGGGAGGACAGGGGCAAAAGGAUGCAGGGAGGCUGCUGAUUUCCACUGAAGAGCUAAUUUCCUGUGAGACAUUAACAGUGAUUUAAGAAAAAGAUUCCUGUAACUGGUAAAUGAAUUUCAUUUGCUUAACUUUUAGAUGAUAUGUUUCAGGCAAAAAAAAAGUUGUGCACCCACUUAUCUCUUUAAAGCGGAGGAUGAAAAGCAUUGAAUAGGUAGGAUUCUUAAUGUCUGAGAUGAAGGCGAUGUAGGAGGCAAACAAUACGGUUAAAAAUGUUGAGUCGACCCAAACAGAAAGACCAGGUUUCAAUCCAGACUCUGCGGCUUACUGAGAAUAUGAUCUUGAGUAAACUGCUUGACCUUCCUGAGCCUCAGCUUUCUUAGUUGUUAAAUGGACUUUAACAAUACUAAUCUGUUAGGACUGUGGUGAGGAUGAAAUCAGGGAAAUCAGUCACAGCAGUGCUCUCCUGGCACAGUAAUGUCUUACAAUAACAGAAUGCAGGAGAGCACAUAUCAAUGAAGAAAAGACAAAAUGUACUUAUCCAUGAAGCUGAGGUUAAGAAACCAGUGUCUUCAAGAGCCAGGGACAGCACUGGGUCUGUGCAGAGUUGAGAGAUGGUGAUGACAUGUGGUUUCCAGCAUUCCUCACCCAGUCCAGGGACACUGUGGGUGUGCCCAGCUUAAGUCCAGUAACUGGAAAUACAAGCCCAAGUUCUGGAGAGUUUGAGCUGCAGAGAUAUAUAUGGGAACACUUUGAAUCUUGACUCAUUGGCCAUAACCAGCAGAGUGGAAAAUACAAGAAGAGAAAAAAACAUUGAACUGCGAUUUUAUAACAUCCUUUACUAGGCAGAGAGAAGAGGAAACACCAGGAAAGAAAACUGUAUUACGAUGUGAAAACUUAAUGUUGAGAAAUUCAGGCAUCUUGGGGUUAGUGAGGAGAAGUUUUAGGGGCUUAGAUUCUUCUAAACACAUGUACAGAAAUGCAUAUUUCAUCUGAUAUCAAAUGGCAUUUAUAGUGCUAAUCUUUACCUCAAGACUUCACAUCUUUUGGUGAUUGCAUCUUUUAGGUUUAUAGCAGCUAAGUUUGCAUGAAAACACCAGGGCUGUUUCAUUUCAGUCAAGAAUUAAUGUUCAUUGAUUGUGCUUCUGCAUUUCAUGUAACUAUUGUAGAAUUUGUUUUAGUUUUAUGAGGGAAUAAUUGUUCCAACUUCUAUAUAACUCAGGAAUUUACUCUCAAACAACACUGUCAAUUAGUUACUUAUCUCUCUGGAAAUGAUCUGGGAACAUGGAGAGGAAAGGGAGGAAGGGGCAAAAUCUGACCACUUAAAUCUAAGCAUAUUAGAUCAUUUUAUGCUAGAAAGUCCUGAAUGAUGUGACUUUCGUUCUUGUAAAACACCUCUUUCCAUAGAUUCAUGGCCCAAACAGUAUAUAAAGAGUGGGGAAGGAACUGCAUUUGCAAAUAGUUCAAAUCAUUGCUCCAUCUUAACUACGCAGUUCACAAAGUGUGAAGAAAUGUGAUCAUCUCAAAAAAGAUAAUGGGGAAAAAAUAUGUUUUGUUCUGUGACUUUAAAGUCUUGCAAUAUUUUACAUAAAUGAUAAUGGGUGCUUUAAUAAGAACUCUUGAUACUUUUGUUAUUGUAUUCAAUAUAUGCAUAUAAUACAACAGGAUGAUAUUGUUUUGGAUUUGGAAAUGUAUUCUUUCUUAUGCAAUCUUAUGCAGUCAUACUGCUUGAAUAUCAUUACCUGAAUUUAUCUUUCUUUUUUUUGUUGUUGUUUUACACUCUACUUAUUUGGUGCCUGUCAGUCUUUUGUCGUCAGUUUAUAUUCUACUAAACUCAAAAAGACAAUCUCAUACCUUUUGUAAUUGUAGGCAUUCUUUACUAGAUUUUUAAAUACACUUCAAAAAUUCAAGUACUUUGAUUUCAUGCCAUCAAGUAGCUGAAUCUAUCCCCCCGUCUCUUUUUAAAUUUAAGUGAGUAGUUCAAUUUCUGUCACUUUCUACUUUGUGAAUUCUAAAUCUUUUAAAACCAUCUUGCCAUUUUUCGUGCACUUACCCUUACAGAAAACUCUGUGAAACACUACUUAUCUCUACUUUUAUGUUUUUAACUCCUUUUUUAUAUUACUAUUCCCUCUGCUUUCUAAAUGCACAUAUUAAUUUGUUCUUUUUAUUCUCUGUAGCUCUUCUCAGUGUAUGAAUUCAGUUUCCCAUCAGUCUCCAUACAAUUAAAAAAAAGUUGAGUAUUCUGUUAUUUUAAUAAGAUAUCUAGUGCCCAUAUUCUAAUUCUGCCCCUUAUUUUUAAUAUAAUUUUAUUGUUGAUUUAAAAUGACAACAGUUUCAAUUCCCAGAAAGUGAAAGGAAACAAAGGAAUAAUAUUAUAGGCUUAAUUUUUAUCAGUGAACUUGUAGGUGAAGAAAAGAUUUGGGGAAGGAAAUGAACAUAUUAUAUUGCAAAAUAGUAAGGAACAAUCAGAUGUGUUUUCUAGUCUCUGGAAAAGCAUGUUUCAAGAAAUUCAAUGAAAAGUUCAUCAUGCUUGCUUAGAUUGUUGAGAAGCAAAAACACUGAUGAACAUUUGGAAGCAAUGAGAAUGUAAUUCUAAUCAUACUCUUUUAAUAAUGUUGCAAAACUCUCCAAACACUACUCUGUGUGGAUGUCUUUCAGAAUAUGAUGAAUACUAGUAGUCUUAUUCUGCCCUUUUCUCUCUAUCACAAUAUAUACAUUCUAUAUUGCAUACACAUAUUUUCCAAAUAUUACAUAUAAUUUCAUGUAAUUUAUAGACCUAUUAAGGCCCAACCAUUUUCUUGGAUAGGGGAUUCUUUAGAAGUCCAGCUUAAAUAAAGCCCGUAUAGAAAGUUUUUUUAAAAUUUAUACAUAAUCACCUAAAGUAACCUUAUCUACUGAACUCUUAGUACAUGCUACUGGAACCUUUUAUCAUGUUUCUUCCUGGCUUGCAUUACAACACUGUUGACAUAUCUCAGCCUUACUUCUAGGCUUCUUUGAGAGCAUGACUCAUGUUUGUAUUCCUCACUGAGGUUGAAUGAAUAAGAGAAACUACAGUAGUAGGAAAAAACAGUACAUGUACAUAUCAAUGAAUAUGAAAGGGUCAAAUGGAUCUAUUAUAGUAAGCACAAAAUCAACUGACACCAGCAAAGUAAACCCAAAAUUUUUAAUGGUAUUUUAAUAGAUCAAGAGGAGCAAGCAGAUUUUUGAGACAGUUGUCUCCUACUUUCUCUAUCACAGGGAGUAAUUUUAAAAGAAAAAUGGAGGGUAAGUUUCUUUAAGAGAAAAUUGUAGUUUAAAACAGGUCAUGGGAUAAUUAGAAAUAAUUUAAUUUCUUUAGAGGAUUUUAAUCUUUCAACUGCUUGCAAUUAGAUCCUAAGGCAAUAAAAGAAUAAGGAGAUUUGGAAAACCAUUGUCUGUAAUCUCUGAAGAAAAGUGGACAUUAGGGGAGUCAGUUGAAAAGCAAAGCUAUCACCAUUUUCUAAAGAGGAAAAAGGUGAACCUCACAAACUAUAGACCAAAAAAAUAGGACAUCGAGAGAAAGAAUAUGAAGCUAGCAUAGGUUCACAAAGAAUGAGUCAAAUCAAACAACAUGCAUUUUUUAUUUAUAAAGCAUGACUUGUUCAUUGUCAAUUCAUGUUAGCUUAAUCAUUAGGCAUUAAUGCCAUCACUGCAAUGCAUAUGUCAGCAAUAAAUAAUCAAAGACCAGGCUUCCAUCAUUCUGUUUAAUAUCUUCAAGUAAUGCUUAAGUUUGCAAAUGCUCUUUUAACACAUUCUCCAUAUGCAGCCUGCCCAGCACUGCACACAAUAGACCUGUUACUUCCCCCUCACGAGCACUCCUAAUAUUUCAUGUGCUCAUCCAAUUGACUUCUCCCACUGGUGCCUCAUAUUGAAUUUGUAGAAUCACACCUGCUCCUUUUUCAAAACUCUUCUGAGUUUUUUCUUAAAUAAUUCACUGACCCCAAAGUUGUCAGAUAUUUGAAGACUACUCGCACAAUUUUAAUAUUAUAAAUGUAUAAUGUAAAUGUAAUUAAGAUUUGUAUAAUGUACGAUGUACUUUGGUAAAUAAAAGUAUGCUGUGAAUAAAUACGUAUGAUACAAUUCAAAAUUUUACAUAAAUAUGUGAUAAAAUUUAGCUCAUAUUCUUUUUUUUUUUCUUUGAGACGGAGUCUCACUCUGUUGCACCCAGGCUAGAGUGCAGCAGCAUGAUCUCAGCUCACUGCAACCUCUACCUCCUGGGUUCAAACAAUUCUCCUGCCUCAGCCUCCUGAGUAGCUGGGAUUACAGGUGCCCGCCACCAUGCCCAGCUAAUUUUUUUCUAUUUUUGUUGUUGUUGUUGUUUUUAGUAGAGACGGGGUUUCACCAUGUUGGUCAGGCUGGUCUUGAACUCCUGACCUCAGAUAAUCCACCUGCCUCGGCCUCCCAAAGUUCUGGGAUUACAGACGUGAACCACGGUGCCCGGCCUAGUUCAUGUUCUUUAAGGACAAUUAUGAAUAUUUUUAUGCACUGUUAAUUUUCAUUAAGAUAUUGAUCAAUUAAUAGCUAUAUAUGUUCUAUAAAUUAAUCCUAUCUAGUUUCAAUCUUAAAUUGUUUGCAUAUACCAAUCUAGUUUAUUGUUUGCAUAUAUUUUAUAGUGUAGAGAUUAGGCAUUUUAAUAAAAUUUUAAAAUUUCCAGGACAUACUGUUAAUGACUAUGCUUCCUACUAUAGGCCAUAAUUAAUUUUUUUCUAUUGUCAACAAUAUUUUGGUAGGGAUGAUCAGGAAAUAAGGAAAUGUUUCCUUCAUUUGUUAACAAUAGGUGUUUGGGGAUUUUAAAAUGAAAAUUGAAGAAGUAAAAGACACCAUAUAUUUAGUUUGUUUGAUUUCGUGGCUUCAAGAGUUCAAUAAUUUAUUGAAAUAUUUUACAGACCAAAGAACAACAGAUAUAUUACGUUUAUAAGCCCCCACAUAUUUUAAAGGAUAAUGGUUUAUAUAUGAAAAUUCCCUGAACCUACACUUCAUCAGGAAAAGCUAAAUAAAAGAAGUUUACAUUUCCUAGGACUAAUGGAGAUUUAUUUCCCAGUCCUCUUCUCUGGAGACAAAUGUAGGUCUCUCUUGAAAAGCAGAAAGUUUUGCAUAUGAGGUAUGAUUUAGUGGGCUAGAAACAUCUUUUCCACCCUCCCCAAAAUGUUUCACUAUGUUUUAUCAUACUAUCUGAUAAUUUUGCACUAAAGUUUUCUUUCUGUGUUAAGAAAAUGCAAAUAUCUCUGAAUGGGUCUCUUUGCUUUAGUCAUACUCAUAUGGCUACUACUGAACAAAAUAUGUUCAUUACAGGAUGAAGGGAAUGUUGCCAGCCAGCAAAUCCCUAGAGUUUGCACUACACCAAACGUUGCUUAGCAAUUUCCACGAUUUUCUCAGUCUAAUUUGCAAGAAUCAAGGAGAUGUUUGUGUAUGCUACAUGAAGUUGUAAAAUUGGUAUUUAUUGUAUGUUUCUAUAUCGAAAGCUUUACAAACAAAGGAAAUGGAAAGUUAACAGGUGGAUAUGAUAGUGUGGCACUACUUUAGCUGGAUGGUAAGGGAGAGCUUCUCUUAGGAAGUGUUUUAGGCCAGGACUUGAAUAAUGAACAGUAUCUAGUUGUACAAAAAUCUGGAGGAAAGACUUUUCAGGCCCAGGAGAAAUGAAAAUUCUUUUCAUGCAUACAAGAAUGAAAGUGAAAAUUACCUACUCUAUGUCCUGAAGUGGGAAGUUGGCUUGCCAGAGAGUAGGUAAUUUUCACUUUGAUUCUUUCAUGCCUUCAGUUAUACUACUUCUUAGGUUAGUUCAUAAGGGUUUCCACAAUUUGGUUCCCACUUAAAAUUUAAAACUUCCCUAACCCAUUCCCACCAUAUAUUGUGCUAAUCCAUGCAUAUGUGACUUUGCGUAUGCUGUUUUCAUUGUUUAAUAUUCUUCUCAUGCAUUCGUUCUUUCCUGAUAACGAACUCAUCUUUGAAACUCCCCUUCAAGCAUCCUCUACUUUAGGAGGCCGCUUCUCACUGUCUCCUGCCUACCACCCAUUGAAUUGUUCAAUUUUUAAGCUGCCAUUGUCUUGUGCAGUUGACACAUUUCUUUGCAAUUACUGAUUUACAUGUCUGCUUUUAUCACUGGUGAGGUUCUUUAGGACAGAGACAUUAUUAAUUCAUCUCUGGGCACAUAUGUUCCAACAUAUUAGAAGUACUACAGAGUGCUAUUACUAUGUAGUAUGUAGUAUUAGUAGUAGUUACUCACAAAUCAUUUUUAAAUAAGUGAUUAUAAUAUCUUUUUGUUAUUAUGAUUUAACACAAGAUGGAAUUUAUUUUCAGAAGUUUCCAUGAUAUAUUUGUUCUAUUUAAAAUCCAAUAGCCAUUAGAAUAUUACCAUUAUUUAAUGUAAAACAAUAAAAUAUUAAAUAUGAUCGUUCAUAUUUAAUGCAAACCGAACUCAUGGAAAUAUUGUGUAAAGAUCAAGUAAUUUUUGACAUACAAUUUUAAACUCAACUUUUCAUAUAGCAUACCUUAUGAUAUAUUUUCAGCCUACUUUUAAAUAUGUUGGCAUUGAAAGCCAGUUACUAAUUCGCUGAAUUCAUGAUUUCUUUUUAAGUUAUAGAAGUGGAAUUAUGUUUGAGAUAUUCAUUGCAUUACAUUUACCAGAACUUGAGUUCUUAACAUGGAACCUGAGAGUUUCUCCAAUUCUUAAGUCCCUGGGAGAAAUAGAUUAGCUGGAUGAGGAACUGAGAGGAAAAAUGGUCAGAGAUGUAGCAAGAGUUGGGAAGAAGGAACAAUGAUUUGCUUUCAAGGAGAUUUUUUCAUUGGUCUGUUUUCAGUGACAAACCCACUGCGAUAAUACAUGUAAAGUGAAAACAUUCAGGAAGUUCCCUUAGAAACCUCUUUUCUGGCAGUUCCUAAUUCUACAACAUUGUAUAAGUGAAAUACCAUAGUUACUGUCAUAGUAAAUUGAGCCAAGAGAAACAAGGGAGCAGGAGAAGAAAAGAAUUAAAGAGAGUUUUGUCUUUCAGUCUUCACUCUGUUUCUUCUUGCUUUUACCAGUCAUUCAGGUUUAUAUAAUUUCUUUAGAGAGGCUUCUACUAUGCAGGUCUUCCUUAAAGUCAUUGGUAUUACCUGGCAUGAUAUGUGAGCCUUUAAUAUCAGUCCCUUUAUCUCUUUAUUUUUAAAGUUUAUAUCAGUACAGAGUCCUGGAUUCUUAAUUAAUUUAAUAGGUUAGACUUUAUGCUAAUAUUCUUCAUUUUGAUGCUCAAAUUUUCCAAAAUUUGGCCAGCAGGGUUCCUUAAAGCUGGGUACCUUGCCCUUUCAACAUGUCCCUCUGAUUCUUUAUUUUUAUUUACUUAUUUAUUUAUUUAUUUAUUUAUUUAUUUAUUUAUUUAUUUAGAGACUGAGUCUUGCUCUGUCUCCCAGCCUGGAGUGCAAUGGCACAAUCUUGGCUCACUGCAACCUCUAUCUCCCAGGUUCAAGCAAUUCUCCUCCCUCAGCCUCCCGAGCAACUGGGACUACAGGCAUGUGCAACCAUGCCUGGCUAAUUUUUUUUGUAUUUUUAGUAGAGACAGGCUUUCACCAUGUUGGUCAGGCUGGCCUCGAUCUCCUGACCUCAAAUGAUCCAUCGCCUCGGCCUCCCAAAGUGCUGGGAUUACAGGCGUGAGCUGCCACACCCAGCCGUCCCUCUCAUUCUUUAAGUACUUCCAUGUUUUCUAAGGUACAAGAUGUUCCAUAUUAUUUUGUUAUUUGUCUUCCCCAGCUCUGAAAUCUGCCUUUCCUUCAAGGAGCCUUGGUUCUUUCUAGUGACAAAUUAUAUUUAGAAAGAAGAUCUGGGUAUUUGACUUGUAUAUUGCUAUUAAUUGGCCAUUGUUUCUAGUCUCUUUCAGUAGACAGAGCUAAGAAAUGUAAAAGGAAAUAUUUGAAUGUAUGUAUAUGUGAUAUAUUAAGUACAUUUAAACAUAUUAAAUUCAUGAGUUCAUACUAAUACUUUCAAUAAGCCACAAUUCCCUUUUCAUGUUUUCGAAGGAAAAAUAUCCAUUGUCUAUAUACAGUGGACAUAGAUAGUAAUAAUACUGAUCUUGAAAAGAGCAGUCUUAAAUAGAUCCCAUUAAUAGUUAAAGAUAACAUAUCUUAGAAUUCUAGAUAUUAGAGAGAUUAUCUAGAGCUGUAAUCUAGAUAUUUUAUAGAUCUUUGCUGUGCUGUUUUGAAUUUGUGUUGGAGUAGAACAAUCAGAUGACAAAAGCUCAUCCCACAUGGAAAAAUCAAAGCAUUCAUUACAGAGAGAAUUUUGAAAUAAAUGCAUAUAUAAAAAAUAUAUAUGCAUAUAUAAUGCAUAUGUAUAUGCAUAUAAAAUAUAUAUAUAUAAAAUGAGGGUUAUAAACAAUGAAGGAAAUAGUGAUACUAUCUAUGUGGGAACAAUACUAGUAUCCUCCCUUUGGAUGAAUACAGUAGCUACAGAUGCAAUUCUGGGGACUCUGUUUAGCAAUAGCUUAACUAUUGCUUGGCUACAAGCAUGGAUAACUUGUUCAAAGAUAAUGAGGAGUUGUAAAUAUUUAAAUAAACAGGAUUUGCAACAUAAAAAGCUUUGUGACUAUGUGUCUGAAUUCUUAGAGUUUUCUCCCAGCAAGACCUUGGAUGUGGCAGACUUUUCUGUAAUUGUCCAUCUCGCCCCUAUUUCAUGAAAAGCCAGAGCUUCUCUACUUAGUUUGCUAACCCCAAAUAUAUAAAUUCAAUAGAAGUACUAGCCUGUUUUUACUGGUUUAUUUGCUUUAUCUAAAAAAAACAAGGCAUAGUUUAAAGUCUGUUUUUGAUAGCAUAACAAAACAAAGGUUCUCAUUUUAAUAAUGCAUCACAUAUACACUUGGUAACUAUUGCAUAGUAAUAAUUUAAUAACUUGAGAAAUAUAUUUAUGCAUGUAUGUGUAUAUGUUCAUAUAUAUGUUAUUUUUAAUUCAGAAGUAAAACAAAUAUUGGAAGAGGCCACAGUUAUUAUAAAAAUAAUUUGACCAGUAUUGGACAAUGCAAAUAGCAAUCAUUUAGAAGUUUCU
Molecule: long non-coding RNA, 9580 nt
Filed under: Homo sapiens (human)
Lineage: Eukaryota; Metazoa; Chordata; Mammalia; Primates; Hominidae
Description: PREDICTED lncRNA (TCONS_00237989)
Source: RNAcentral